Molecule: ribosomal RNA, 495 nt
Filed under: Triticum aestivum (bread wheat)
Lineage: Eukaryota; Viridiplantae; Streptophyta; Magnoliopsida; Poales; Poaceae
Description: partial small subunit ribosomal RNA
Source: RNAcentral
AUGGAUUUUCUGAUGAGCGGGAAAUUGGCAGAGGUGGAUAUGCAGUGGGUUAUUGCGGAUGUACGGCAAAGGUUGCUCUGCUUUGAGUACCUGGAUAAGGGAACUCUCGAUAAGUAUAUCGCUGAUGCAUCUACUGGACUUGACUGGAGAAAGCGCUACCAAAUAAUCAAUGGGAUUUGCAAGGGACUACACUACCUCCAUCAAAAUCAAAUUCUUCACUUGGAUCUUAAACCUCCAAACAUUUUGUUGGAUGAUAGUAUGUUUCCCAAAAUUGCGGAUUUUGGUUUAUCAAGGUGUUUUGAUGAAAAGCAAAGUCGCGCUUUUACAACAAACAUAGCUGGAACACUGGGAUAUUUGCCACCAGAAUUCGGUAGCCAUGAAAUCACAUACCAGUUUGACUUGUACAGUCUUGGUGUCAUAAUUAUGGAGAUACUGACCGGAAAGAGGGGGUAUGAAGCUGUUGAGGAUGUAAGAAUAGCUAUGACGCAUUUCUAA